This 335-nucleotide ribosomal RNA is filed under the name uncultured fungus. RNAcentral describes it as "eukaryotic LSU rRNA". The stretch from base 1 to 71 matches the Rfam family "5.8S ribosomal RNA", at positions 84 to 154 of the family's 154-position model. The record is from RNAcentral. Lineage: Eukaryota; Fungi.
GUGAGUCAUCGAAUCUUUGAACGCACCUUGCACCCUUUGGUAUUCCGAAGGGUACGCCCGUUUGAGUGUCAUUGUAAUCUCACACCGACUGCUUUUGUUGUCGGAGGUGGACUUGGACCCUGUCGUGUCAUUAUGACGGGUCUGAAAUGCAUGAGUGUACCCUGCCUUUUGCAGCGUCUUCAGUGUGAUAAGCAUCUUCACUGAUAUUAAGCUCCUUCGGGACACGCAAGCAUUGUGGGUUCUAUGCUUCCAACUGUCUUUGGACAAGCUUUGACAAUUUGACCUCAAAUCGGGUGGGACUACCCGCUGAACUUAAGCAUAUCAAUAAGCGGAGG